RNAcentral lists this small RNA (278 nucleotides) under Vigna angularis var. angularis. RNAcentral's name for it is "Non-protein coding transcript". Lineage: Eukaryota; Viridiplantae; Streptophyta; Magnoliopsida; Fabales; Fabaceae. The record is from RNAcentral.
CAGAGACAGACCCUCUAAAGAAAAAGGAGAAAAAAGACCUCAUGUGAAUGUGACAAUGGAAGCUAAGCCUUUUAGGAUUGUUCCCUCUUCACACAACACUUCUGGGGUAGGAGGUGAACCAGGAAAGAAGAUUGUCAUUGGACAAGCUAUGGAACCUCAUUUAAUUCUCACAGUCUAAAUCUCGUUUUAUGCAUAAGUAUAAAAGUUCAAUAAAAUCAUGAUAAUUACACUCUCCCGACUUCUACUUUAUAUAACUUGUUCCAUUAAUGAUAUUUCUG